GGAUGUGAGGGCGAUCUGACUGAGAACCUUCACCCCACUGCUCGCCAUGGUUGAUUUGACUGAUCUGGCUGGCUAGGCAGGUGUCCCCUCCCCCCUUCACACUCCAUGUGUGUCCCUAGGUGGAAGAGAAUAGCCUUCCCUGUCUUUGGUGUGGGGGAGGGGGGUGUACGAGUAGCUGUGCUCCCCUGCCAGAGCCCCCAGACAAGCUCCCCUCUAGUCUGCUGUUGGGCUCUUCCUGAUAUGUUAGGGUUUUCUCUUUGGCCUUCAGCUUUAGUGGUGGGUGACUUUUACU
This 292-nucleotide small nuclear RNA is filed under the name Erinaceus europaeus (western European hedgehog). RNAcentral describes it as "7SK RNA". It matches the Rfam family "7SK RNA", at positions 1 to 247 of the family's 331-position model. Rfam says of the family: 7SK was discovered as an abundant small nuclear RNA in the mid-70s but a possible function has only recently been suggested. Two independent studies have found that 7SK RNA binds the CDK9/cyclin T complex (known as elongation factor P-TEFb). Lineage: Eukaryota; Metazoa; Chordata; Mammalia; Eulipotyphla; Erinaceidae. The record is from Rfam by way of RNAcentral.